CCUACGGGGGGCAGCAGUGGGGAAUAUUGGACAAUGGGGGGAACCCUGAUCCAGCCAUGCCGCGUGUGUGAAGAUGGCCCUCGGGUUGUAAAGCACUUUCAGUGAGGAAGAACGCCUGGUGGUUAAUACCCAUCAGGAAAGACAUCACUCACAGAAGAAGCACCGGCUAACUCCGUGCCAGCAGCCGCGGUAAUACGGAGGGUGCGAGCGUUAAUCGGAAUUACUGGGCGUAAAGCGCGCGUAGGUGGCUUGAUAAGCCGGUUGUGAAAGCCCCGGGCUCAACCUGGGAACGGCAUCCGGAACUGUCAAGCUAGAGUGCAGGAGAGGAAGGUAGAAUUCCCGGUGUAGCGGUGAAAUGCGUAGAGAUCGGGAGGAAUACCAGUGGCGAAGGCGGCCUUCUGGACUGACACUGACACUGAGGUGCGAAAGCGUGGGUAGCAAACAGGAUUAGAUACCCGAGUAGUC
Molecule: ribosomal RNA, 465 nt
Filed under: Vreelandella stevensii
Lineage: Bacteria; Pseudomonadati; Pseudomonadota; Gammaproteobacteria; Oceanospirillales; Halomonadaceae
Description: partial 16S ribosomal RNA
Rfam family: Bacterial small subunit ribosomal RNA
Source: RNAcentral